Molecule: unclassified non-coding RNA, 233 nt
Filed under: Hevea brasiliensis (rubber tree)
Lineage: Eukaryota; Viridiplantae; Streptophyta; Magnoliopsida; Malpighiales; Euphorbiaceae
Source: RNAcentral
UCCGCAUGGUUUCGCGUCCAUAGACAGCAAGUUGUCGACUGUGUAGAUCCUCAUCAAUAUCCGGCGGGUUAGAAUUACCCGAAGCCAUGAUCAAGGAUGCGGCGUCGUUCACAAUAUCGUUAGCGGUGGUAGCAACGGUGGCAACGGUGGCAACGGCGGCAACGUUACUGUUGGAAUUUGAAUCGGAAUCGAUCCGUUGCUUCUUGAUCAAAGACACGCCCACGUUCUGAACG